AGAAGCCUGGAAUGUACGAUAAAUCUUGUUAUUUUGAACCUACAUUUACUUUAAACGGGAUUCUUAUAUUGCCUUAUUAAUGUCAGGCCUCCAUUAGUCAGAGGAAGGCAGAGGUAAGGUUGCGGUUACCCACCUAGCUUCGCUAGGAGUCAAAAUACAAGACGCGGCAUUUUGGGUGCUUG
Molecule: non-coding RNA, 182 nt
Filed under: Lachnospiraceae bacterium
Lineage: Bacteria; Bacillati; Bacillota; Clostridia; Lachnospirales; Lachnospiraceae
Also listed under: 1 other name
Description: 6S RNA
Rfam family: 6S / SsrS RNA
About the family: E. coli 6S RNA was the first non coding RNA to be sequenced, but its function was unknown until recently.
Source: RNAcentral